UUCUUGCUGCCACUACGUGCACACACAUACAUGCAUGUGUACACACAUGCACACACAUACACGCAAUCUCCCUAACCCCAGAUGAGCAGGAGGAGAAAGAGGAGGAGGAGGAGGAAGAGGAGAAAAGGAACAGAAUAUUGGAACCCCAGAGGUGGGAAGGACUUCAGAAAUCAAAGUGUUCAAACUCCUGUGUGGUGGGAAAACCAAGGCCCAGGGAAGUAAAGGUGGAGGCGGGACUGGAGUCCAAUUUUCUUAAGAGUUCAAUGCGAUUGUCUUUUACCUAGUGAGAGGAAGACAAGGGGAAGGAGGUGAGGAGUCUACUGUGACCCUAGCAAAGUGGCCACCACCUCAUGUACUCCCAUUCCAACCUACCGAGAUGUUGCUUUCUCUUUUUAUAUAGUGUAGGAAACUGAGGCUGGGGAAGACAUCAUCAUUUAUUCCAAGGAACUAGGCAGGGCCAUCUCUGAAAAGGCAGAGCCAGAAUUCACAUCUUCUGGUGCCUGACCCAUACUUCCUAUUCUGUACUGUGACAGAUGAAAUGGUUGUGUUCAGGAGGCCUUCCCUGAAAAAGAUACAGUGCUCCCUGGGUCCAGGGAAGACCAUCUCUGGGACUCAGGCAGCCUAGAUUUCAGUCCCAGCUCCACCUCUCACUGAACUACAGAUGCCCUUGGGCAGGUUGCUAAAUAUCUCUGGGCCUGGGUGUCCUCAUCAGUGUGACCUGUGCCCUGCCUGCCUCACACCACCAAUGAGGCUAAGAUGUGCUCCUGAGAACCUCUGCAAACCCUGAGCUACUGAAUGUUCUUGGGGUUAACACAAAGAAACCAACAUCGACCACCAUCUAGCCAAGGGGCCCAGAUGCCACGCACUUAGAUAUCUGCUCACAUGGUCCUUCCAAAGUAGCUGCAUUUGGAAUAUUUCAGUCUUACAAAUAUUACUCUGCAUGCAUCUGCUGUAGGGCCCAGACUGGAGCAGCAGGAAAACAGAUCUCACUGGCCCUGUCCCACACCCCAUCCCCAGCUCUCACUGGCCCUGUCCCACACCCUAUCCCCAGCGUCUUAUAAGGAUCCCAAGGCUGGGUGUGAGGACCAGAUCCUCUUUUUUCCCCUUUUGGUGGAAAGAAAAGUGAGAGGCAGGGUCCUAGGCCUUCUCUCCCCAGUUCUCCUAUCCCAGAACAUCAGGCACUGGCCAGGCUGAGCCCCGAGGAGAGGGAUAUUGAUCUGGGAGAGAGGUCAGCGUAGUCCCCAGCUGGAUCAGGGCUCUGUGGGAUCUAGCACCUGUUAGGAUUAGAUACCAGAGGAAGAGUCCUUCAUAUACACAUUUAAAGGCAAGUUUAUCAGACGAACAGGGAUGCAGGAGGGGCAGCAUUAGAAACAUCAGGAAAAUGUGGUGGACCAGGUGCCCGGUGGUCCCUGGGGGUGAGCUGGAUACAGGGGCAGUGGGAAAUGAGGCUGGCAGAUCUCUGGGUGUUAAUCAGGGAGCAGGGAAGGAGUGGUCUGAGCUUAGGCCCCUGAGCACACCAUAGUGAGGGCUUUGGAUCCGGAUGACUCUUCCAGAGAAGGGAAAAGGAAUGUCGCAGGGAGAAGACAGCUGAGUCUUGUACUUCUUUCUAUGCUCCCCACAAGGAGCCCCCUCACCCAGCCCUUGGGGUUUGCUAUAGUUUGGAUGCUUGUAUUGCUUCCAAAAUUCAUGUUGAAACUGAAUCCCCAAUGCAACAGUACUAAGAGGUAGGGCCUUUAGGAGUGAUUAGCCCGUGAGGGCUUCUCCCUCAUGGGUGGGAUCAGUACCUUAUAAAAGGGCUAAGGGAACUAGCCAGGCCCUUUUGCCUUUUUACCUUCUGCCAUGUGAGGACACAGCCACAACGUGCCGUCUUGGAGGCAUAGACUGGGCCCUCACCAGACACCAAACCUGCUGGGGCUUUGAUCUUGGACUUCCAGCCUCCAGAAUUGUGAGAAAUAAAUUCCAGUACUUUAUAAAUUACCUGGUCUUAGGUGUUUUGCUGUAGCAGUAGGGAUGGACUAAGACAGUGUUCUGCUGCCUGCAUGCUCUGUCUUCCCAUCCACCUCACAGAUACAUGAGGCUGACCCCCAACCCCUGCACACUUACCUAAUCCAAAACUAGCAGGUUUGGGUUUAUAGUAGCCUCUCCUCAAAUGCAUCUAAGACUUAUCUGUAAGCUAACCAGGCACAUUAGCAGCCCAGAGACCAACAGAGCAUGAGGAAGGGAGCAAAAAAGGCUUUGAAACAGCCAGAAUAGACAUUCUAAAACUCAUGCCCAAAACCUAAAUCUUUGACUUAUCAGUGAGCCUUGUGACCCCACUCAGAGACUGUUUAUUUUUGUUUUAGCCAGAGUCUUGUUAUUCAUAUCCCAACUCACAACAAAUUAGAAGAGAGGGGGCAAAGCUACACAGGGACAGCAAGGAGAAUGGCAGCUGAUGGGUUGAAGGUGCAUGAGAGGUCAUUAAACCUGGGAAGACCAGGAAAGACAAUGUAAAAGAUGACUAAAUCGGGGCAAACAGACCUAUAAAACUGGGUAGAUCAACUCUCAACAAAGGGCAUUCUUGAGUAGCAGCCAAGAUUCACACACAUACAGAUGACCCAGAGUCAUCAAGGAAAGAUGACUGUGGUCAUUAUGAGUUUUCUAUUUAGAAGGCAUGGAGUAUGAAACCCAGGCAGGAAGAGUUUCAUGCAAAAUGGUCAAACAUUUUAGGCAGGUGUUGGCAUUCAAAGCUGAGGUCUCAAUUAUCCAGAAUAUUCUCUCAGAGCAUUUCCGAGAGUGAAGGAUGUCCUCAUGCUGUCAGUCCUACAUGAAGUGAGGCCUGUCCUAUCCCUGACCCUGUUCAGGGAGCACACACGUCUUUAGUUGUUCAUGCCUUGUGGGGAAUACAGACAGUCAAAAGACCGGUGCUUUUGACACAAAAUAGGUCACUUUUGUCCACCCCUUUCUUCCUUUUAGCUGGAUAGCCCAGAGGAAGGAUCAAUGAAGUCCUUUGUUGGAGAGACUGAGAAAGCUUUAUGGGAAGGGGAAUGGUUUCAGCCAUGCAUAAACAAGUAUAGAAAUAUAACAGGCCAAUAAAUGGAAGUUGCCACUGAGGCACAAAGACAUACUACACAUAAGAAGAACAAAGUUGGAGGUUUCAUGCAUCCUGAUUUCAAAACUCACUACAAAGCUACAGUAGUGAAAGCAGUGUGGUACUGGCAUAAAGACAAUCAUAUAAACCAAUGGAAUAGAACAGAGAGCCCAGAAAUAAAGUCUCACAGUUACAGUCAAAUGAUUCUUGACAAGAGUGUGAAGACCACUCAGUGGGAAAAUGACAGCAUUUUCAACAAAUGAUGCUGAGAAAAUGGAAUAUUCCUAUGCCAAAGAAAGAAGCUGGAUCCUUACAUUGUACCAUAUAUGAAAAUUAACUCAAGAUGGAUUGAAGACUUAAAUGCAAGAGCUAAGAAAAUAAAGCUCUUAGAAGAAAACAUAGGGUAAAAUCUUCAUGUUGUUGGACUUGGAGAUAAUUUCUUGGUGAUGAUGCCAAAAUCACAGGCAAUAAAGGAAAAAAUAAAUAAACUGAACUUCAUCAAAAUUAAAAACUUCUGAGCAUCAAAGGACACUAUCAACAGAGUGAAAAGGCAACCGAUGGAAUGGGAGAAAAUAUUUACAAAUCAUACAUCUGAUAAGGGAUUAGUACCUAUAAUAUAUGAAGAAUUCCAGUAAAUCAACACAAAUGAAACUAACAACCCUACUCAAAAAUAAGCAAAGGAGUUGAAUAGACAAUUCUCCAAAGAAGUUAUACAGGUGGCCAAAAUGCAUAUGAAAAGAUGUUCAACACCACUAAUCAUUUAUCAUUGUGAUACAAUAUUACUUUUGGAUGACUAUUUGUAUUGACAUACAAAUAUUACAUUUGGAUGACUAUUAUCAAUAAAACAGAAAAUAACAAGUAUUAGUGAGGAUGUGGAGACAGUGGAAACCUUGUGCAUCACGGUUAGAAAUAUAGGAUGGUGCAGCCUGCAUGGAAAACAGUAUGGUAGUUCCUCAAAAGAUUAAAAAUAGAGUUACUAUGACCUAGCAAUUUCACUUUUGGGCAUAUAUCCAAAAGAAUUGAAAACAGAGAUUCAAAGAAAUAUUUGUACACCCAUGUUCAUAGCAGCAUUAAUUUUAACGGCCAAAAGAUGCAAACAACCCAAAUGUCCAUCAACAAAUGAAGGGAUAAAUAAAAUGUAGUCAAAACAUUUAAUGGAAUAUCAUUCAGCCUUAAUAAGGAAUUCAGGGCUGACACAUACUACAACAGAGAUGAACCUUGACAUUAUGCUCAAUGAAAGAGAAUUUUUGAGUGGCAAGAAACAAAUACAUAAGAAAAGAAAUAGAGAGUUCACUAGAUUAAAAGCUCACAUUGAAACCCUCACCUCUCAUAAGCAACAGUCCUUGAUCAUUGAUGCCCAGUCUUGCUGCCUUUUUUCCUUAGAGCCUGUAGCUAGGGCUGUCAUAAUAAGGACCACAAACUGGGUGACUUAAGCAACAGAAACAACAUUCUUGGCUGCCAUUCAAGAAUGCCCUUUGUUGAGAGCUGAUCUACCCUAUAUGAAUGGAACCAUAUAGCAUUUGUCCUUGACCCAAAUGCUGUAUGGUUCCAUUCAUAUAGGGUGCCUAGAGUCGUCAAAAUCAUAGACACAGAAGGUAGAAUAGUGGCUGCCAAGGUUUGGAGGAGGAGGGCUUAGGAGUUGUUGUUUAAUGGGUACAAAGUUUCAAUUUGAGAAGAUGAAAAGAGUUAUGGAGAUAGAUGGUGGUAAUGAUUGCUCAACACAGUGAGAGUACUUAAUAUUACUGAACUCUGUUCUGAAAAAUGGUAAGUUAUACAUUAUAUAUAUUUAACCACAAUAAAAUGUAUAGGAAAAAAAGACAUAAUAUACAUACAAAUUACAAAAUAAAGAGCAGAUUUGAAAAGGAAAUACUAAGAACUGAAUUUGCAAUUCCAAAGACUCUAUAAGGGGGAUACAAAAAGAUUUUGUAAACAUUUAUUUAGACAAAUCUUUGUUGCAUUUUCCUAAUGAUGGGGGAAGGGGUUUGGGGCAAGCAGCCUUGAGCUUGCCCCUUGCCCCAAGUGUAGUUUCGGGUUCAGGAGCGUUGGCAGGGAAACGUGGAGAGCUGGGAGGCAUGCCCCUCAGUUGGGGCACCGUGGACCAGGGUCGGACUCAAGUCAAAAAUACAUAAAGGGCAAGAGCCUCUGGCUUCCUCGCUGCUUCUCACUCACUUCCUUCCCACUUGAGAACUGUUAAGUCUGGCGUCCAGGAGCUGUGGUUCGAGGAGGGAGGAGGAGUUGUAGGGAGCAGGAAUGUUUUGACUUGAGUAGGAUGCUCCUAAGAAGGCUCUGGCUCUUGGGCCUGAACAGCAGAAGGCUGACUCUUCUCUGUGGAUGUUCUGGUGGAGUAUGCAGGUGGGGGUAGUUGGGAGUCGUUGGUUUGGGAUUGGCCUGCCCCCUAGGGGUUGGGCAAAGAUUGUGGGAGUGUUUCUUUAGCAUGUGUUUAUGUGAACUAGAUGUUGGCCACGUACAUGAAAAAGAUAGUGUUGAGAUCUUCCAUCCUGUUCCAUAUGCUCCCUAGGGGGAUUGGGUCCUCAGCUGACAGGAUCUGGAAGUGAACUGCUGGAAGUGUGGAGGCUGUGGAAGAACUGAAGUGGCCCACGGCUUAGGGAUGCAGUGCUUAGUGAAGAGUGCACAGGGAAGGUUCCCAGGCUGGGGGAAUCCUUCAUACUCUACCAGGGCAUCCACAGGGAAGAUGCCUUAUGCUUGAUCCAGGCCCAUGAGCCUGAGCCUUCGUAAGAGCAUCCUACUAAAGGCAGAACUUCCGUGCUCCCUACAACUCCUCCUCCCUCCUCAAAUGGCUGCUCCCAGGGGUCAGACUUAGCAGUUCUCGAGUGAGGAGGAAGAGAGUGAGAAACAUGACAAGCUGGAUACAUUCCCUUUUCCCAAGGUGGGUAGGCCCUGCAGCAGCCCUAGCUGGGGGUGGGAACUGCAGGGAGGAGAAGUCUUACAUUUGCAUGAAGACUGAAGUGUUGCAUAAUCUAUGGCCUUGGGCAUUACAAUAUCCAAAUUGAGACUGUGUUUUCAGACUAAAAGUGGUAGCAGGGAUUUCUAUGGCUUAAUUGUAACCAGAAGACAAGGGAAGGAUUAUACCCAUUGAACAAGUUGCUUAAGUCAGUUGAUUAAGAAAAUUGCUUUUAGGAUUACGUGCCCUGAGUCCACUUUACUCCAUCUACAGUUCACAGUAAGUGGAGGGUCAGGCCCCUACUUAUAGAUCCGUAGCUCCUGUCUCCCAUAGGCUUUAGGCUGUGCCCUCACUGAAGAUUCUGGAAACCAGAGUCUUGCUUGGAAUCUCAGAGCCAGCUAAUCCCACUAGCUUCACAGCCUUAUCUUCUGACCACACUUAUGUAUGAGUUCCUGUGCAAAGCUCAACUCUCUCAUCUUCCUGCCCUCAUGGGGCUGUGUUUGCCCUGCCCCAUCCAGCUUCCCAUUGCCCCUCCUUCUCCAUGCUGCAGGGCCCAUGUAAACCAACACCUCUCUGUUCUCAAGCUUUCCAUCGGCUGACUGUCCACCAACUGUCAUGGUGACUAGGUUGUCCUGCAGGCACCUUCUUCCUUGGCAGCUUCUCCCAAAGAGGCUCUUCCCUCUCCAUGCCCCCUGGGGUUUGGGUCAGAAUUCUCCUGUGCUUCCUGGCUGCUCAACUGAACUCCAUGCAGUUCCUAGAGGGGCACACCCUCCCUCACCUUCAGCUCUCUGAGCGCUGUUUCCUCAGAAGCACGGACUCCUAGCCUGGGAAAAUCCACAGCCCCAGUGUACUCCCCAUUUAUCUCUCUGAAUGUGAUUAUUGACUUGGGGUGCAUCUGCCUUAGAUGUGAGCCCCUUGAGGGUGGGGACCUUGGUAUCUUACUUGUGUUUAUGCCUACAGUGACUGGAGCAAGUCAGUGAAUGUAGGUGGUGACUGGCGUUUCAGAAAAUCCCUCUUGGGGCCAGCAUGGGGGUGGAUAAGAAGGAGGUAGCUGAUGCAGUACUUUAGGCAGAGACGGGUGCUGAGCUGAGUGGGUGGAGAGGAGUGUCCUGGCUGUUCUUACUGAACUGGAAGCAUGCAGACCGGUGUGGCUUCCCCCACAAUUCUUCCCACCUGGGGUCCUGCCCCCACCCCUUAGUGCUCCUUCUCCUCACUCAGCUCCCAGUUCCUAUGAGUGCUCACUGAGUGCCUGCAGCCCUGAGUGAGAAGCAGCCUUGAGUUUGUUCCACUCCCAAAGGGACUGACAUUGUUUCUAGGCUAGGUCAGUUGGCAGGCCUUUGGCUGAGGAAAUGCAGCACUGUGGCAAGCCCUGAAGCAUAGAGCAUUAUGGGCUGAGGAUACCAAAUGGUCUUCAGCCUGGAACCCUCGAGCUGCCCCACAGAAUCACAGUAUUACAUACAGAAAAUAAGCCCCUUUUAUGCGGCUGCCUGGGUGUUUCUCUGUCUCCUUCCAGCAUUCCCCACCCCAAGGAAAAUCCUGGGCAUGUUCCAUGUGCCUCUGGCUGGCUUCCACCCUGGGCACCGCAAGCUCUUCCUGAAAAACCACUCUCAGCCAGUCUUCCUGCUGACAACUUCCCUUGCCAGAACAGUGAGGGGUAAGGAGGCUGAUGAUUACCAGUUUGUGCCAGAAUUAUUGGGUAGGUCACAUCCCAAAUAUGAUCUACAUUGUUUUACUAACUGUGUGAGCUGGCUUUAUGAAUCCCAUUUUUAGGUGAGGAAAUGAGGCUUAUUGUCAGGUCUCUGAGCCUAAGCUAAGCCAUCAUAUCCCCUGUGACCUGCAUGUACACAUCCAGAUGGCCGGUUCCUGCCUUAACUGAUGACAUUCCACCAUAAAAGAAGUGAAAAUGGCCUGUUCCUGCCUUAACUGACGACAUUGUCUUGUGAAAUUCCUUCUCCUUGCUCAUCCUGGCUCAAAAGCCCCCCUACUGAGCACCUUGUGACCUCCACUCUGCCCGCCAGAGAACAAUCCCCCUUUGACUGUAAUUUUCCUUUAUUUACCUAAAUUCUAUAAAACGGCCCCACCCUUAUCUCCCUUCACUGACUCUCUUUUCGGACUCAGCCCACCUGCACCCAGGUGAAAUAAACAGCUUUAUUGCUCACACAAAGCCUGUUUGGUAGUCUCUUCACACAGAUGCGAGUGAAAUUUGGUGCCGUGACUCAGAUCUGGGGACCUCCCUUAGGAGAUCAAUCCCCUGUCCUCCUGCUCUUUGCUCCGUGAGAAAGGUCCACCUACGACCUCAGGUCCUCAGACCGACCAGCCCAAGAAACAUCUCACCAAUUUCAAAUCCAGACCCCACUGGAAAUCGGAUGGAAAUCGGACUGUUCAACUCACCUGGCAGCCACUCCCAGAGCCCCUGGAACUCUGGCGCAAGGCUCUCUGACUGACUCCUUCCCAGAUCUUCCCGGCUUAGCGGCUGAAGACUGACGCUGCCCGAUCACCUCGGAAGCCCGGUAUUCCAUCACGGACGCCGAGCUUUAGCGCAUCAAGCUCCAGAUGAUUCUCAGUGAGGGAUACCAUCCUGUCAAUAUUCAAAAGUCACCCUUCUACCGAGGACUCUUUGACCAGCCAUCAGAGGGACACAGCAGAAGUGAAAUCCCACCCCUGUCUCCCUUGGCCCUGACUGGAUACCACUUUCACUAACUCACAGAGCCACACUGUUCUGAGAGCUACCAAGAAGCCAAGGCCCAUAGAACAAGCACCACCACCUCCUCAUCAGUAGGAAACAGUUUCAGAAGACUGACCUUUGUCCAUUUUCCCAAAGAAUUGGGUCUUGAAUUCUUGAGGGGGAAAAUGUUAGAGUAGGUAGUUAGGCAGGUAUGAGCAAGGAAAGAGAGGUCCCCCUCCCCAGGAAUGUCAGGCAACCAUCGGGUGAUGGUCAUGUGGUUGUUCAACUGUCUCUCUAAGAUAAUAAUUUAUCAUGGCUGGUGACAGGAAAAGAGAGUCUCCCAAUAAAUAGGAAACACCUAAAGCUGCUGAUGAGCAGCUUCCUGAUAAGAUUUAAGGAGUUUGGCACGUGCUUAAGCAUGUGCACUGAGGCAAAAUGAUGGAGUUCAAUUGGUGUAUGACCACCCUCUAAAAAUACUAGAAGAACGCUAGAAGGAAAAAUGCCUCAAAUGAGCAUGCACAUAACUUCAGUAAACACACAGUGCAUGCAACCCCUCCCAAUUGCUGGCAAGCCACUGCACAUAUAGACAGUCCCUCCCCCCAGGGGAAGAAUUGGGGAGAAGAUUAAAAAAUGCUAGAAGCAUGCCAACAUAUAAAAUUCCAAGUCAAAGGUCAAACAGUGCACUCGCAUCUCUCACAUCACCCACUUGGCCCUCUUCCAAAUGUACUUUAUUUCCUUUUGUUCCUGCUCUAAUAAUUUUUAGUAAACUUUCACUACUGCUCUAAAACUUGCCUUGGCCUUUCAUUCUGCUUUAUGCCCCUCAGACAUACAGUUUUUCACUAUUAAGAAUAAUGUUAUAUGUAGAUUUUUGUAGAUGCACUUUCUCAGCUUGAAGUUCUCCUUAACUCUAAGCUUCCUAGGAGAUUUUUUAAACCAUCAAUUUAUUUUUAAUUUUGAAAAAUACUUUUUCCUACAUCUCUUGAUAUUAUCAUAGUUUUUCAUCUUUCAUUCAAUAGUGGAGUACAUAUUGAUUGGCUUGUAAUGUUGAACCAGCCUUGGGCUCCUAGGAUUCACCUCACUUGGUUGCGAUGUAUUAUCCUUUCUACACGUUGUUAGAUUCACUAAUAUUUUGUUGAUAAGUUUCGCAUCUAUGUUCAUAAGGUACCUUGAUCUGUAGUGUUUCUUUUGGUAACGAAUUUGUCUGAUUUUAAUAUCAGAACAAUUCUGGUCUCAUAAAAAUUAUAAAGUAUUCAUUUUUAUAUUAUGGAAGAGAUUGUAUAAAAUUGAUGUAAUUUCUUUCUUAAAUGCUUGAUAGGCUUUGCCAGUGAAGCCAUUUGGACCGUGGCCUAUUUUUGUUUCCUGGAAAGUUUUUAGCUACAGAUUAUUUUGUUUAGUAGAUAUAUAUGACUAUUCACAUUAUCUCUUUUCUUUUAAGUGAGCCUUGUUAGUUUGUGUCUUGGAAAGAAUUGUUCUAUGCCAUAUAAGUUGUUAAAGCUAUGGGCAUAGAGUUGUUUGUAAUAUUCCCUUAUCUUCCUGUGAAAAGUCUGUGGGGUCUCUCAUAAUGUUCCAUCUUUUCUUUCUAAUAUUUGUAAUUUGUGUUUUUAUGCCAUUUUUCUUCAUCAGUCUCGGUAGAGAUCUAUUAAUUUUAUUGAUCUUUUACAAGAGACUUGUUUUAGUUUCUUUUUAAUAUGGUUUUUCACUUUCAUUGAAUUCUGCUCCUAUCUUUGUUGUGUACUUUAGAUUUCUAUUGGAUAGAACUGCACUGGAAUGUGCCUUGCAUACAAUAACACUCCAUAGAUAAGUGCUUCAUGAAUGAAUAUUUGAGUUAAGAUAUGAAAGAUACCUUUUUUUAGACCUUAAGUCUUGAGAUCAGUCCCAACUCCUUAACCAUCUAAUAUUUCCAGGCUUCCCUCAUCAAAGGUACUGCAUUUCUGUGGUGCACUAUUCUAAGCCUUACAAACUUACAGUCUUACCUGCUAUGUUUUACUGUUGCUUCUGGCCAAUAUCCAAAACUAAAACACUCUAAUGUUUCCCUUAGAAAAAUAUUUUACUAUUUAUCCUUUGUGUCUUUCUCACUCACACCUUGGGAUUUGGCUUUGGCAAUUGUUAAGGAAAUUAUAAAGUAGUAUAGAGACAUGUAAACAUUUCCAAGGAAAAAUAAUAGAGUGCGAGAUGGAAAAUUCUCCAUUCUGGUUAUCAACUAAUUUAUCAUUUUGCUUUUUCUAUUUACCCACAUUUAAAACAAUGAGGUAACCAGUGGAAUCUUUUUUUGUUUAUAAUCAAGGUAUAAUUUAAUACAGUGAAAUAAAUUAAGUGUACAGUGCAAUGAAUUGUAUAUACCUGUGUAACCCAUGUACCUAACUACACUUCAAUUAUUCCAGAGAGUUCUCUCUUGCCCCUUACUAAUCAAUCCCCGCUCCUUCAGUGAUAGCCCUUCUGAGGUUUUCCAACUUAUUUUGUCUUUGCCUGUUUCAGAUGCUCAUAUACAUGAAAUCAUAUAGUACAUAUUUUGUCUUGCUUCUUUUAUUUAGUAUAAUAUUUUGAGAUUCAUCCAUGCUGUUGCAUGUUUCAUUAGUUUUUUUUUAAUUGCUGAGUAGUAUUUUUAUGGUUAAAAUACAAUUUAGUUUAUCCAUUUUCUUGUUGAUGGGCAUCUGGGCUAUUUCUACUUUUGGGCUAGUAUGAAUAAGAUUGCUAUGAACAUUCUUAUACAAGGAGUUUUGCAGAUAUGCUUUCAUUUCUCUUGGAUACAUGUCAGAGUGGAAUUGUUAGGUCAUGGAGCAGAUGCAUGCUUAACUGUAUAAGAAACUGCCAGUCUUAGGCACAACUUUAAAUGUAUGACAGUUCCAGUUAUCCACAUCCUUGCCAACAUUUAGUGUUGUCAGUUUUCAAAUUUCAGCUAUUUUAGUGGUUCUGAAGUGAAAUCUCAUUAUAGUUUUACCUUGUAUUUCUCUAAUAGUGAGUGUGUUGAGCACUUGUAUUUAUUGGCUCUAUCUUCUUUCUUAAAGUGUCUAAGUCUUUUGCCCUUUUAAAAUUGGGUUGUUUUCAAAAUCAAUAUUGAGGUGUAGGAGUUCUUUAUAUAUUCUGGAUAUAAGCCCUUUGUUGGAUGUCUAAGAUGCCCACAUAUUUCCAUGGUCUGUCUUGCCUUAUUAUAUUCUUAAUGGUGCUUUUAAUAAGAUGUCUUUAAUUUUGAUGAAAUUUGAAUCUUUUUUUUAUUGUUACUGCUUUUUGUAUCUUGCCCCAAUUUUUGCCUACCCCAUGUUUUCAUAAUAUUCUUCUAUGGUUUAUACAUUAUAUUUUAAUUUUUACAUUUAAAUUUCCAUCUCGUAUUGAAUUUUGUUUAAGAUGUGAGGUUAAGGUUGAGAUACAUCAUGACAUGCAGUUUAUGUAUAUAACAAACCUGCACAUAUAUCGCUGAACCUGAAAUAAAACUUAAAGAAAUACAAAAAAUAAAAACAAUACAACAAAAAUAAUACAAAUAAAAAAUAAUAAAGCAUAGCAAGUAUUUACAUAGUAUUUUAUAUCAAUUUAGCUAUUACAAGUAAUCUAGAGAUGAUUUAACAUACAUAGGAGGAUGUGUGCAGGUUCUGUGCAAACAUUAAGUUGAGUGUCCUCGAAUUUUGUUAUCCUCAUGGAUCCUGGAACGAAUCACUUGAGCAUACCA
Pan troglodytes (chimpanzee) is the source of this 12295-nucleotide long non-coding RNA. RefSeq lists it as uncharacterized. The record is from RefSeq and is a predicted model, not a curated record. The transcript is spliced from 3 exons. Lineage: Eukaryota; Metazoa; Chordata; Mammalia; Primates; Hominidae.